CCUACGGGCGACAGCAGUGGGGAAUAUUGCACAAUGGGGGAAAGCCUGAUGCAGCGACGCCGCGUGAGUGAAGGAGUAUUUCGGUAUGUAAAGCUCUAUCAGCAGGGAAGAAAUAUCUACCUUUGGGUCGCCACACGGUACCUGAUUAAGAAGCCCCGGCUAACUACGUGCCAGCCGCCGCGGUAAUACGUAGGGGGCAAGCGUUAACCGGAUUUACUGGGUGUAAGGGGAGCGUAGACGGCAGCGCAAGUCUGAAGUGAAAUGCCGGGGCUUAACCCCGGAACUGCUUUGGAAACUGUGCAGCUAGAGUGCAGGAGAGGUGAGUGGAAUUCCUAGUGUAGCGGUGAAAUGCGUAGAUAUUAGGAGGAACACCAGUGGCGAAGGCGGCUUACUGGACUGUAACUGACGUUGAGGCUCGAAAGCGUGGGGAGCAAACAGGAUUAGAUACCCGUGUAGUC
This 458-nucleotide ribosomal RNA is filed under the name uncultured bacterium. RNAcentral's name for it is "partial 16S ribosomal RNA". It matches the Rfam family "Bacterial small subunit ribosomal RNA", at positions 338 to 795 of the family's 1533-position model. The record is from RNAcentral.